This 270-nucleotide long non-coding RNA is filed under the name Lathyrus oleraceus (garden pea). Its description in RNAcentral is "Pisum sativum (pea) long non-coding RNA (PSAT_LNC006245)". Lineage: Eukaryota; Viridiplantae; Streptophyta; Magnoliopsida; Fabales; Fabaceae. The record is from RNAcentral.
UCGAUUUUAUGAUAAUACUAAAAAAAUCCAAAAAAUAUUAGUUAUUUCACCAUCCUUUUUGUUUGAUGGAGAACAUGUACUUGUAAGUGUUUUAAAGGCUCCUAAUCGAUUCCUUUGGUUCAUUUCUUGGUUAUUGAAAGCUUGUAUGAUUAUAGCACACUUUUUUAAGUGUUGAUUGUUAUCCUUAACAUGUUAAACUUGAUUAUUUUUAUACCAUAUCUCAAUUGAUUCACCUUGAAAACAUGUUUGAAUGAAUGGUUAGGAGGUGAU